RNAcentral lists this ribosomal RNA (505 nucleotides) under uncultured bacterium. RNAcentral describes it as "bacterial SSU rRNA". It matches the Rfam family "Bacterial small subunit ribosomal RNA", at positions 8 to 504 of the family's 1533-position model. The record is from RNAcentral.
AGGGUUUGAUCAUGGCUCAGAUUGAACGCUGGCGGUAUGCUUAACACAUGCAAGUCGAACGGUAACAGCUCUAGCUUGCUAGAGGCUGACGAGUGGCGGACGGGUGAGUAACGCGUAGGAAUUUGCCUUUUAGUGGGGGAUAACCCGGGGAAACUCGAGCUAAUACCGCAUGAUGUCUUCGGACCAAAGCAUGGGACCUUCGGGCCAUGCGCUAAAAGAUGAGCCUGCGUUGGAUUAGCUAGUUGGUGGGGUAAAGGCCUACCAAGGCGACGAUCCAUAGCUGUUCUGAGAGGAUGAUCAGCCACACUGGGACUGAGACACGGCCCAGACUCCUACGGGAGGCAGCAGUGGGGAAUAUUGGACAAUGGGCGCAAGCCUGAUCCAGCAAUACCGCGUGUGUGAAGAAGGCCUUAGGGUUGUAAAGCACUUUCAGUAGGGAGGAAGGGUUUAUUGUUAAUAGCAAUGAACAUUGACGUUACCUACAGAAGAAGCACCUGCUAACUCU